Molecule: ribosomal RNA, 464 nt
Filed under: Vreelandella stevensii
Lineage: Bacteria; Pseudomonadati; Pseudomonadota; Gammaproteobacteria; Oceanospirillales; Halomonadaceae
Description: partial 16S ribosomal RNA
Rfam family: Bacterial small subunit ribosomal RNA
Source: RNAcentral
CCUAGGGCAUCAGCAGUGGGGAAUAUUGGACAAUGGGCGAAAGCCUGAUCCAGCCAUGCCGCGUGUGUGAAGAAGGCCUUCGGGUUGUAAAGCACUUUCAGUGGGGAAGAAAGCCUUGGGGCUAAUACCCUCGAGGAAGGACAUCACCCACAGAAGAAGCACCGGCUAACUCCGUGCCAGCAGCCGCGGUAAUACGGAGGGUGCGAGCGUUAAUCGGAAUUACUGGGCGUAAAGCGCGCGUAGGCGGUCUGAUAAGCCGGUUGUGAAAGCCCCGGGCUCAACCUGGGAACGGCAUCCGGAACUGUCAGGCUAGAGUGCAGGAGAGGAAGGUAGAAUUCCCGGUGUAGCGGUGAAAUGCGUAGAGAUCGGGAGGAAUACCAGUGGCGAAGGCGGCCUUCUGGACUGACACUGACGCUGAGGUGCGAAAGCGUGGGUAGCAAACAGGAUUAGAUACCCCUGUAGUC